GGAUCAUUACUGAGUGAGGGUUUCGGCCCGACCUCCAACCCUUUGUGAACCAACUUGUUGCUUCGGGGGCGACCCUGCCGUUCGCGGUCGCGGCGCCCCCGGAGGCCAUCAAACACUGCAUUUUGUACGUCGGAGUCUCAAGUAAAUUGAACAAAACUUUCAACAACGGAUCUCUUGGUACUGGCAUCGAUGAAGAACGCAGCGAAAUGCGAUAAGUAAUGUGAAUUGCAGAAUUCAGUGAAUCAUCGAAUCUUUGAACGCACAUUGCGCCCCCUGGUAUUCCGGGGGGCAUGCCUGUUCGAGCGUCAUUUCACCACUCAAGCCUGGCUUGGUAUUGGGUGUCGCGGGUCUCCGCGCGCCUUAAAGUCUCCGGCUGAGCUGUCUUGAACCCUAGCGUUGUGAAUCAUAUUCGCUACAGGGGAUGGGCGGCCGCGGCCGUUAAAUCUUUCAAAGGUUGACCUCGGAUCAGGUAGGGAUACCCGCUGAACUUAAGCAUAUCAAUAAGCGGAGGAAAAGAAACCAACAGGGAUUGCCCUAGUAACGGCGAGUGAAGCGGCAACAGCUCAAAUUUGAAAUCUGGCGCAAGCCCGAGUUGUAAUUUGCAGAGGAUGCUUCUGGGUAGCGACCGGUCUAAGUUCCUUGGAACAGGACGUCAUAGAGGGUGAGAAUCCCGUAUGCGACCGGCCCGCACCCUCCACGUAGCUCCUUCGACGAGUCGAGUUGUUUGGGAAUGCAGCUCUAAAUGGGAGGUAAAUUUCUUCUAAAGCUAAAUACCGGCCAGUGACCGAUAGCGCACAAGUAGAGUGAUCGAAAGAUGAAAAGCACUUUGGAAAGAGAGUUAAAAAGCACGUGAAAUUGUUGAAAGGGAAGCGCUCACAACCAGACUUCGUAGCGGUGUUCCGCCGGUCUUCUGACCGGUCUACUCAUCGUCGCGAGGCCAACAUCGUCUCGACCCGCCGGAUAAGACCUUAGGAAUGUAGCUUUUCCUCGGGAAAGUGUUAUAGCCUGUGGUGAUACGGCGCGGUUGGGGCGA
This 1033-nucleotide ribosomal RNA is filed under the name Dothideomycetes sp. genotype 808 JMUR-2016. Its description in RNAcentral is "eukaryotic LSU rRNA". The stretch from base 456 to 1033 matches the Rfam family "Eukaryotic large subunit ribosomal RNA", at positions 1 to 591 of the family's 3401-position model. Lineage: Eukaryota; Fungi; Ascomycota; Dothideomycetes. The record is from RNAcentral.